Podarcis muralis (Common wall lizard) is the source of this 508-nucleotide non-coding RNA. The record is from RefSeq and is a predicted model, not a curated record. NCBI's taxonomy places the organism in Eukaryota, Metazoa, Chordata, Lepidosauria, Squamata, Lacertidae.
CUCCGACGUCCAUCGUGUGGACCAUCUUGUCAGGAGGGAGCAAGAAGCCUUCUCUCUGGAAGCGUUCCUGCAGCUUCCUCAAGUGGGAGGGCAGCUGCCCCCCUGGCUAUGCCUGUGCUAACCCUGGGAGCAGAAGAUCAUCACCCCAGGUUCCUACAGAGAUGCCUCCUCCCCCUUGAUACGCACCUUAACCAGAAAGACUCUCCUCUUUCAUCGUGAGAGCUGGUUGGAUUAUGACCUGAGAGGCCUGGAUUCGAAUCCCCACUCAGAAAGGAAGCUAACCAGGUGACAAUGGGCCCUUCAACAUCUCUCAGCCUAACCUACUUCACAGGGUUGUUGUGGAGAUGAAAUGGGGAGGCGGAGAACCAGGUACAACAUCACCUUACGCUCCUGGGGGGGGGGAAUGGUAUAUUAAUGUAAUAAAUAAAUGUGCCAAGCAAAUAAGACUUGGGGGGAGUGAGGACUUAAAUAGCUAGUGGAAGGGGCCUUGAAAGAGAUAGUUGCCACU